RNAcentral lists this ribosomal RNA (308 nucleotides) under uncultured Pseudomonadota bacterium. RNAcentral describes it as "bacterial SSU rRNA". It matches the Rfam family "Bacterial small subunit ribosomal RNA", at positions 28 to 351 of the family's 1533-position model. Lineage: Bacteria; Pseudomonadati; Pseudomonadota. The record is from RNAcentral.
GACAAACGCUGGCGGAAUGUAUUAGGCAUGCAAGUCGCACGAACCUUCGGGUUAGUGGCGGACGGGUGAGUAACACGUGGGUAACCUGCCUCGUAGUGGGGAAUAACUCGCCGAAAGGCGAGCUAAUACCGCAUAACACUCCCGAUGAGAAUUCGGGUAGUAAAAGCUCCGGCGCUAUGAGAGGGGCCCGCGGCCGAUUAGCUUGUUGGUGGGGUAAUGGCCUACCAAGGCGACGAUCGGUAGCUGGUCUGAGAGGAUGGUCAGCCACACGGGGACUGAGAUACGGCCCCGACUCCUACGGGAGGCUG